CCUAGAGUUGUAGGCUUUGCCUGCCAUCUCUUACCCAUGUCUUUUGAGUACCUUACGUUUCCUCGGUGGGUUCGCCCGCCGGCUGGACAAAACUUAAACCCUUUGUAGUUGCAAUCAGCGUCUGAAAAAACUUAAUAGUUA
Molecule: unclassified non-coding RNA, 141 nt
Filed under: soil metagenome
Also listed under: 1 other name
Description: partial internal transcribed spacer 1
Source: RNAcentral